This 500-nucleotide ribosomal RNA is filed under the name uncultured bacterium. Its description in RNAcentral is "partial 16S ribosomal RNA". It matches the Rfam family "Bacterial small subunit ribosomal RNA", at positions 30 to 523 of the family's 1533-position model. The record is from RNAcentral.
AUUGAACGCUGGCGGCAUGCCUUACACAUGCAAGUCGAACGGCAGCACGGGAGCAAUCCUGGUGGCGAGUGGCGAACGGGUGAGUAAAGUAUCGGAACGUGCCCAGUCGUGGGGGAUAACGUAGCGAAAGUUACGCUAAUACCGCAUACGAUCUAUGGAUGAAAGCGGGGGAUCGCAAGACCUCGCGCGAUUGGAGCGGCCGAUAUCAGAUUAGGUAGUUGGUGGGGUAAAGGCUCACCAAGCCGACGAUCUGUAGCUGGUCUGAGAGGACGACCAGCCAGACUGGGACUGAGACACGGCCCAGACUCCUACGGGAGGCAGCAGUGGGGAGUUUUGGACAAUGGGCGAAAGCCUGAUCCAGCCAUGCCGCGUGCAGGAUGAAGGCCUUCGGGUUGUAAACUGCUUUUGUACGGAACGAAAAGGUUUGGCCUAAUAAGCUGAGCUCAUGACGGUACCGUAGGAAUAAGCACCGGCUAACUACGUGCCAGCCGCCGCGGUAA